This 22-nucleotide microRNA is filed under the name Singapore grouper iridovirus. Its description in RNAcentral is "miRNA-4". Lineage: Varidnaviria; Bamfordvirae; Nucleocytoviricota; Megaviricetes; Pimascovirales; Iridoviridae. The record is from RNAcentral.
GAAGAGGGGCUAGCGAGAAACA